This is a long non-coding RNA of Onychomys torridus (southern grasshopper mouse), 1276 nucleotides long. RefSeq lists it as uncharacterized. The record is from RefSeq and is a predicted model, not a curated record. The transcript has 4 exons. Lineage: Eukaryota; Metazoa; Chordata; Mammalia; Rodentia; Cricetidae.
UCAUUUUUGCUUCUUCCUCCCCACCUGAAGUCCUUCCUGAGGGUUUCUUCAGCUUGAAAUGAUGUAAGCCAACCCAUCAGAAGGACCAAACCCAGAAGCUCCAGCUACUGAGGCAGGACCAUGAAAGAGCCUAUGGACAAAACAAUGGCACAUCACUUCUAGUACCUGCCUUGAAAGGUUCCUUCCUGGUUCUCUCUGUGGUGAGGCCAGACAGCUGCAGUCAAUCUCUGAAGACAUCACCCAUGUGAUGAGGAAGGGAAACCUGUCCCAAGUCAGGUACCAAUUGCAAAUACCUUCUUGGCGAGCGGUGGGACUUGGUGUUCACUUUCCCCUUUCAGUGUCGGGAUUUUCAAACGUUCUAUUACGAUGUGAUCCAAAGGCUUUGAUACUUCCAUGCUGAGGAAGGAUGGUAGGAAAACACCAUCUACAUUUUCUGUUUCUAGACCAUCGUGUUUCAGCAUGAACGGUAGAAACACCACAAUUUACAGCACACAGUCGUCUUGAAUUUGAGGUGUUCAGACACCAUGAACAACGCUAAGUGUGCUUGUAUACGUUCAACACCGAGGCUGUCUCAAGUCAUGCCGUGCGAUAUGGGUUUGAGAUGCUAUUUGGGCUUUUCUCAGUGACAUACUAAGUAAACACUUGGAUAAGUGUGCCUUGAAGUUCAGUGGAGACAUCAAAGGCAGAGGUAGACAUUUGAGAACCAUCUGCAAUCCACACGUGAGGUUAUGAGAUGAAGGAGGACUUCCUAGCAAGAAGUGAGAAGUGAUCGGGAAAGGUGAUAUUCAGAUAAUUCGACCUUGUGUAGAUUAAAAGAAAGAAGCCAACAAAGAAAGCUUACAAAGACUGCCCAGUGAGGCAGGAAGUAAAGUGAGGACCAGUGACCUCCCAGUCACUAAGUGAAGCAAGUCUCUUUAGAAGGAGGAACUGAGUAACUGUGUGAAAUUUUGCAAACGUAUUGAGCAAGAUGAGGCCUGAGAUGUGAUGCAGAUCUGCCAACAUGGGAACCAUGUUGACCUUUUCACCAGUGGUCUGAGAAGCCGUGAAGAUGGAAAACUGUAGAGGCUAAAUGAAACAGGUCAUGGGAAACUCAAAUAUUUCCUUCCUUCUCCUGAGAUCCAGGAAUACGUUACAGUAUUGACGGUGGUUAGCUCUUCAUUUUCAACUUGAUUUUGAAUUACCCAGGAGAUUCCAGGCCAGUCUCUGAAGUAGUUUCCAGGAAAGUUUAUUCAAGGAGAGAAGACCCAUCCUGAACGUGGGUGACAUCACCCCAUCA